Molecule: ribosomal RNA, 459 nt
Filed under: uncultured bacterium
Lineage: Bacteria
Description: partial 16S ribosomal RNA
Rfam family: Bacterial small subunit ribosomal RNA
Source: RNAcentral
CCUACGGGUGACAGCAGUGAGGAAUAUUGGUCAAUGGCCGCAGGGCUGAACCAGCCAAGUCGCGUGAGGGAUGACGGUCCUAUGGAUUGUAAACCUCUUUUGUCAGGGAGCAAAGGGCGCCACGUGUGGCGUUUUGCGAGUACCUGAAGAAAAAGCAUCGGCUAACUCCGUGCCAGCAGCCGCGGUAAUACGGAGGAUGCGAGCGUUAUCCGGAUUUAUUGGGUUUAAAGGGUGCGCAGGCGGAAUGUCAAGUCAGCGGUAAAAUUUCGGGGCUCAACCCCGUCGUGCCGUUGAAACUGGCGUUCUUGAGUGAGCGAGAAGUAUGCGGAAUGCGUGGUGUAGCGGUGAAAUGCAUAGAUAUCACGCAGAACUCCGAUUGCGAAGGCAGCAUACCAAUCUAUAUCUGACGUUGAGGCACGAAAGCGUGGGGAGCAAACAGGAUUAGAUACCCGAGUAGUC